UACAGAGGUCCCAGGCGUUGUUCGGAUUCAUUGGGCGUAAAGGGUGUGUAGGUGGCGCUGUAAGUGGGGUGUGAAAUCUCGGGGCUUAACUCCGAAACUGCAUUCCAUACUGCGGUGCUUGAGGACUGGAGAGGAGACUGGAAUUCAUGGUGUAGCAGUGAAAUGCGUAGAGAUCAUGAGGAAGACCAGUGGCGAAGGCGGGUCUCUGGACAGUUCCUGACACUGAGACACGAAGGCCAGGGGAGCAAACGGG
RNAcentral lists this ribosomal RNA (253 nucleotides) under uncultured bacterium. RNAcentral's name for it is "partial 16S ribosomal RNA". It matches the Rfam family "Bacterial small subunit ribosomal RNA", at positions 524 to 776 of the family's 1533-position model. The record is from RNAcentral.